Calidris pugnax (ruff) is the source of this 3271-nucleotide RNA transcript. It is a transcript of the gene named zinc finger protein 346, with no coding region annotated. The transcript is spliced from 8 exons. The record is from RefSeq and is a predicted model, not a curated record. Lineage: Eukaryota; Metazoa; Chordata; Aves; Charadriiformes; Scolopacidae.
CGGCCAUGGCGGACGGGGCGGGUAGCAACGGGGACGCCGCGGGGCUGCCGGUGGGCAAGGAGGCAGUGGACCGGCUGAUCCGGGAGAACGGUCACAUCUUCACCGAGGCCCAGUGCAAGGUGUGCAGCGCCCUGCUCAUCUCCGAGUCCCAGAGGCUGGCACACUACCAGAGCAAGAAGCACGCCAACAAGGUGAGGCGGUACCUGUCCAUCCACGGGGGAGAGGAGCUGGCCCACGGGAAGAAGAUGAAGCUGGACGCCAAGCAGGACAGCAAGCAGGAAGGCAGCAACGGGGAAGACAGAAACAAGUGUUGUCCCAUCUGCAACAUGACCUUUUCCUCUCCGGCUGUGGCAACAUCUCACUACUUGGGCAAGACUCAUGCCAAGAACAUGAAGCAGCAAUCCACCAAAGUGGAAGAAGCAGUGCCCCAACAGAAACAUCCUGCUGCCCUCCCCACCUCUACUGUGUCUUCUAACGAAGAGAACAAGGACAUUACUGACCCAGACAAGUUCUGUAGCCUCUGCCACGCCACUUUCAACAACCCCCUGAUGGCAAAACAGCAUUAUGUAGGCAAGAAGCACAGAAAGCAGGAGACCAAACACAAGCUGAUGGCACACUAUGGCCGAACCCCUGAUGCACCGGCGUCGUCCUUCAUGGCCUUCUGUUGGACCAGGAAGUCUAGUACCUGCUGGAUGCUUGAGGCACCAAGUUGUUGGCUAGCUGUGUGUGCUAACAUUGAUGUCUGUUUCAGCCGGGAAGGGGUACCCCUGCAGCACAUGUAACAUAGUUCUGAACUCCAUAGAGCAGUACCAAGCUCACAUCAGUGGCUUCAAACACAAGAAUCAGAUGCCAGGAGCAGUGCCGGUUGUUGGACCGUUCCCGCCACAGCAAUAUGUCCGGGAAGAGUCAACUGCCCCAGGAGGCUACAGUUAUUUCAGCCAAGACUUCUAGAGCAAGUUGCAGCACUGUUCUUGGAGUUGUUGGUGGCCCAAGAACGCACAUCCUUUGCCAGCCCACAAUGGUUUCAUUAUCCCUCUGGAUAAGCAAAGCCCUACCCUCCUGUAUGCACCCGUUGAGCAGAACGGGGACUGAAUCUGUCAGAAAAAGGAUCCAGCUGGAAAAGACUUGCUAGACAGCAAAUACUUCACUCCCUUAGAGUAGUUUUCAUUGUGUAAUUGCUUCCUGUGAAGGUGGGUGCGGUGUGAGAGGAAGUGUGUAUCUGGUAUAAGGAGGGUUUGGCGACAGGCUGGUUGGUAGUGGCCACCUCCUCCCUCACCAGAGCAAAUAAUGGAUUCGUGCACCUGGAGGGCCACCAUCCCACGCUCAGAGGUGGCUUUUGCUGGAGGAGAACGCCUAGACCAUAGCAAGCAGUGCUCAUGCAGUGUGGAUGGGACACGGGUGUGGGUUGCCUGGCUUUGUGCAGGCUUAAAAUAGGGAAUAACCAGCAUGGCUUGUCUUUCCACGUCUCCUCCAGUCGGGUUUGUGUGCGGAGUUUCAUGAGCCACUGGUUGCCGUUAGAGCUUUUGGCCGUAUCGCAGCCUUUGGUGCCGGAGCUGGGUUGUUUGGGUCUGUCUAAUGAGUAGUUACAGCUUCUGGUGUGCAAAGUGCUGCUGGGGGGAGUGGAGGGCUGUGAGAGGGGUUGGAGCUCCCGGCUCUCCAGACGGCUCAGCCCUCUGCUCCGAGGAUUUCCACGUGGAAGGAAGUAACUGUUUAGCCUGGUUUCCUAUGGAAACAGGUGUACGUGAUCAUUCACCGUGUGUGUCUUUACCCCUUGUGACUUAAAUCAAUCUCAGCCAAACUUGGCAGCAGUGGAGAUCUCCAGGAUCUGAAUGCAAUCAGCAGAGGAAGGUAGAGCAGGGUGAGUUCGUCGCUAAUUCUGUCGGGAUCUGCAUGGAAGUGCAGCAUUUUCCCUACUGCCACCAAAAUACUGUGGGGAAGGAGGGUUUUAAGGCAAAAGAGAGGGAAUAAAUCUAGAUACAGCAGAAAACUGGAGUAUAACUUGGUCAAAUAGUUAGCUAACUAAAAAGCUACAAACCCUCUGCAAACCUGCCUUUGUUAGUCCUUCAUUAGAACACUACUUGCCCAACCCCUCUCUUCAAAGUUCUUACACGUUUGUACUCUCCUGGAAAAGGGAUGUUGUAUAUUUCAAACCUGGAAGUUAAGACUGAUGUUUUUUUUCAUGGUGCUAAUGUACUAGAUCUGUUAGGAAAGGCCCCGGAAGGAAGGGCAGGCAUCUGAGGCUGUUGUGCUUUUUGGAUGAGUUCUUUAGAUGUUUUGCCUUAAGCGAAGGCAUGGCCCGUUCUCUGCUGUCCCACCACAAGAGCCAUGUGCGUUGGGCUGGCCUCAUGCUCCGAGUCAGGCACCCCGCGGCUUUCUCCCAGCGUCAGUGCCUCCGAGGAGCUGAGGCUUUGCUGGUCCGUGGCCAACAUCCUGCUGUUCCUCUUCCACGGGGCAGAAGGAUGCGGAUGUGGCCCCUCCGAGGACUUCCUUGGCUGGUGGGGUUCCGUGGGGCUGGCAGGAACAUGGGUGACAGCCGUGGGCAUGUGGCGCUGGCAGGGUGGGCUGAGUCGAGCUGCUGCCUCCCGUUGCGUGUCCCCAGCAGCUGCUGGAGGGCGGUUUGGGGCUGUUGGCUCCCAGCGCCGUGUGCCAGGGGAGCAGCUGGGGCCUGCGCGGGGCUCGGAGCCGGGCCGUAGAGGCACUUCCAAAAUCCGGUGUGUGCGCUGGUCAGGGUGAGCAAGGAGGGAGAGGCGGUUGCUGAUCUCAGUGCUUGGAGUGAGUGCCUUCCCUUCCCUGCUCCAGGCUGUGCAUGAGCUUUGUGGUUGUUUUUUUUUUCACCCUGCGCAGAAUCUGCCCUCUUCCCUUAGGACAGGCUCCCGCUGGUCUGGGUUCGCCUUCCUAAUGUUUUCUGGUCUUGCUCCACUGCUGAGGUCUGACCUUAGUCUCCUGCUACAGAGGAAGCCCUUUUAAAACCUCGGGAGCUGAUCAACGAGCAGAAAAUUGCGAUGGACUGAAGGAAGCAUUGUGCGCCUGGUAGCCCUGGAUGGCCUCCAACUCCGAUCUCUGCUGCUUAGCCCUGGUCCCGCUGUCCCAGGGCAGGUGCCUGCUAGAUGUGCUGUGCAUCGACACCAAGAGGGAUCCAUUUCCAGCGCUGCCCAGUCCGGUGUGUCACUCCUCUCUGUGUACUGACAGUUUUGCCUUCCCUUGUACACAGUGUUUAUGUAUCUGCUGUUUCCCUAAGGUGAAGCUCUCCAAAUAGAGUGUUUAUUACUAC